CAGCAAAAAGUGCUGACGGCAAGAUUCUAGCAGAGCAUAAGAAGAAAGAAAGAGAAGCGGCAAAGCAGGGAAAACAACCAUUUUAUCUUAAGAAAUCCGUAGUACGGGAACGGAAGCUAAUUGGGAAGUACAAUCAUCUCAAGGCAACAGGCAAGCUUGAGGACUUCAUUGAGAAGCGGAGAAGGAGAAAUGCUGCAAAGGACCGCCACCAUAUGCCCUACCGUCGGGCACAUGAUAGUGAAUAACUACAAGGGCUUCAAAUGCUGCCUGUUUAAUGAGUGCUUAAAUCUGUGUUCCUAUCCUUUCUUAGUGAUAAUGCAUCUGAUUUACUUCCCAAGAGCAAUAGAAAAGCCAAAUGAAUGGAAGGGAAAGUUGAGGUUGAAUUUGAAAUUAUUCAUUGGGGUUUAUGGAGGAGAAACAUGUU
This is a long non-coding RNA of Magnolia sinica, 424 nucleotides long. RefSeq lists it as uncharacterized. The transcript is spliced from 3 exons. NCBI's taxonomy places the organism in Eukaryota, Viridiplantae, Streptophyta, Magnoliopsida, Magnoliales, Magnoliaceae. The record is from RefSeq and is a predicted model, not a curated record.